Molecule: ribosomal RNA, 301 nt
Filed under: uncultured bacterium
Lineage: Bacteria
Description: partial 16S ribosomal RNA
Rfam family: Bacterial small subunit ribosomal RNA
Source: RNAcentral
CAGUCGCCGCGGUAAUACGUAGGUGGCAAGCGUUGUCCGGAAUUAUUGGGCGUAAAGGGCUCGCAGGCGGUUUCUUAAGUCUGAUGUGAAAGCCCCCGGCUCAACCGGGGAGGGCCAUUGGAAACUGGGAAACUUGAGUGCAGAAGAGGAGAGUGGAAUUCCACGUGUAGCGGUGAAAUGCGUAGAGAUGUGGAGGAACACCAGUGGCGAAGGCGACUCUCUGGUCUGUAACUGACGCUGAGGAGCGAAAGCGUGGGGAGCGAACAGGAUUAGAUACCCCCGUAGUCCCUGUCUCUUAUAC